Planctomycetes bacterium GWC2_45_44 is the source of this 73-nucleotide non-coding RNA. The record is from Rfam. Lineage: Bacteria; Pseudomonadati; Planctomycetota.
GCCCCCAUCGUCUAGCGGCCCAGGACGCCGGGUUCUCAACCCGGUAACAGGGGUUCGAUUCCCCUUGGGGGUA